UUAACGUCCGUAACGAGCGCAACCCUUGUCCUUAGUUACCAGCACGUUAGUGGUGGGCACUCUAAGGAGACUGCCGGUGACAAACCGGAGGAAGGUGGGGAUGACGUCAAGUCAUCAUGGCCCUUACGGCCUGGGCUACACACGUGCUACAAUGGUCGGUACAAAGGGUUGCCAAGCCGCGAGGUGGAGCUAAUCCCAUAAAAACCGAUCGUAGUCCGGAUCGCAGUCUGCAACUCGACUGCGUGAAGUCGGAAUCGCUAGUAAUCGUGAAAUCAGAAUGUCACGGUGAAUACGUUCCCGGGCCUU
RNAcentral lists this ribosomal RNA (306 nucleotides) under uncultured Pseudomonas sp. RNAcentral describes it as "bacterial SSU rRNA". It matches the Rfam family "Bacterial small subunit ribosomal RNA", at positions 1080 to 1382 of the family's 1533-position model. The record is from RNAcentral. Lineage: Bacteria; Pseudomonadati; Pseudomonadota; Gammaproteobacteria; Pseudomonadales; Pseudomonadaceae.